RNAcentral lists this ribosomal RNA (376 nucleotides) under uncultured bacterium. RNAcentral describes it as "bacterial SSU rRNA". It matches the Rfam family "Bacterial small subunit ribosomal RNA", at positions 524 to 898 of the family's 1533-position model. The record is from RNAcentral.
UACGUAGGGGGCGAGCGUUGUCCGAAUUCACUGGGCGUAAAGCGCGCGUAGGCGGGUUUUUAAGUUGUGGGUGAAAUUCCGAGGCUCAACCUCGUAACUGCCUGCAAAACUGGGAGCCUUGAGGUAUGGAGAGGGAAGUGGAAUUCCUGGUGUAGCGGUGAAAUGCGUAGAUAUCAGGAGGAACACCCGUGGCGAAGGCGGCUUCCUGGCCAUAUCCUGACGCUGAGGUGCGAAAGCUAGGGUAGCGAACGGGAUUAGAUACCCCGGUAGUCCUAGCCGUAAACGAUGGAUACUAGGUGUUAGAGGUAUCGACCCCUCUAGUGCCGCAGCUAACGCAUUAAGUAUCCCGCCUGGGGAGUACGACCGCAAGGUUGAA